Molecule: ribosomal RNA, 468 nt
Filed under: uncultured bacterium
Lineage: Bacteria
Description: partial 16S ribosomal RNA
Rfam family: Bacterial small subunit ribosomal RNA
Source: RNAcentral
GACGAACGCUGGCGGCGUGCUUAACACAUGCAAGUCGAACGGCAAGGCCCUGCUUUUGUGGGGUGCUCGAGUGGCGAACGGGUGAGUAACACGUGAGUAACCUGCUCUUGACUUUGGGAUAACUUCAGGAAACUGGGGCUAAUACCGGAUAGGAGCUCCUGCUGCAUGGUGGGGGUUGGAUCGUUUCGGCGGUUGGGGAUGGACUCGCGGCUUAUCAGCUUGUUGGUGGGGUAGUGGCUUACCAAGGCUUUGACGGGUAGCCGGCCUGUGAGGGUGACCGGCCACAUUGGGACUGAGAUACGGCCCAGACUGCUACGGGAGGCAGCAGUGGGGAAUAUUGCACAAUGGGCGGAAGCCUGAUGCAGCAACGCCGCGUGCGGGAUGACGGCCUUCGGGUUGUAAACCGCUUUCGCCUGUGACGAAGCGGGAGUGACGGUAAUGGGUAAAGAAGCACCGGCUAACUACGUG